GAGUUGGUCGGACAGCCGCGGGGGUCAAGCGAAAGCUGGCCCAUGAGGAAAGUCCGGGCUCCACAGGGCAAGGAUAACGGGUAACGCCCGCCGAAGGCGACUUCAGGAAAAGUGCAACAGAGAGAUACCGCCCUGCCGCAUGGCGGGGUAAGGGUGGAAAGGCGAGGUAAGAGCUCACCCGUCGGCUGGAGACAGUCCGAUGCUGUAAACUCUAUCCGGAGCAACACCGCUAUGGGGACAUGAGGCUGGCCCGGCCGUCCCCGAGGUGGCUGGAGCGUAUCGGCAACGAUGCGCCUAGAUAGAUGGCUGUCAAGACAGAACCCGGCUUACAGACCAUCUCG
RNAcentral lists this RNase P RNA (341 nucleotides) under bovine gut metagenome. Its description in RNAcentral is "Bacterial RNase P class A". It matches the Rfam family "Bacterial RNase P class A". Rfam says of the family: Ribonuclease P (RNase P) is a ubiquitous endoribonuclease, found in archaea, bacteria and eukarya as well as chloroplasts and mitochondria. Its best characterised activity is the generation of mature 5'-ends of tRNAs by cleaving the 5'-leader elements of precursor-tRNAs. The record is from RNAcentral.